GACGAACGCUGGCGGCGUGCCUAACACAUGCAAGUCGAGCGGAGUUGACAAGAGGAAGUUUUCGGAUGGAAUCUUGUCAAUUUAGCGGCGGACGGGUGAGUAACGCGUGAGCGACCAACCUUGCACAGGGGGAUAACGGACCGAAAGGUUCACUAAUACCGCAUGAGACCACGGUGUUGCAUGACACAGAGGUCAAAGGAGCAAUCCGGUGCAAGACGGGCUCGCGUCCGAUUAGGUAGUUGGAGGGGUAACGGCCCACCAAGCCUAUGAUCGGUAGCCGACCUGAGAGGGUGAUCGGCCACAUUGGAACUGAGAUACGGUCCAAACUCCUACGGGAGGCAGCAGUGGGGAAUAUUGGGCAAUGGGGGAAACCCUGACCCAGCAACGCCGCGUGAAGGAAGAAGGUUUUCGGAUUGUAAACUUCUGUCCUUGGUGAAGAGAAGAAGACGGUAGCCAAGGAGGAAGCCCCGGCUAACUACGUGCCAGCAGCCGCGGUAAGUAGUA
Molecule: ribosomal RNA, 504 nt
Filed under: uncultured bacterium
Lineage: Bacteria
Description: bacterial SSU rRNA
Rfam family: Bacterial small subunit ribosomal RNA
Source: RNAcentral